Molecule: long non-coding RNA, 609 nt
Organism: Microtus oregoni (creeping vole)
Lineage: Eukaryota; Metazoa; Chordata; Mammalia; Rodentia; Cricetidae
Exons: 3
Source: RefSeq, a predicted model, not a curated record
CCCCUCCCUCUCCCUCUCCCCCUCUCUCCUGUAAUAAAUAUUUUAGCUUUACGCCUAUCCGCUGCCUGCUUGUUGGGAAACCACAGCUGCCAGUGCCUCUGCGUGGCUCCGCCAGUGAGAGCAGCAGCUGGGCCCUUCCCGGACCUGCCCGGGACUCGCCUCAUUCCUGCCCGCCUGUUGUGUGUCUGCCACUUGCCACUAGGACGCUCCGGGGUUCCGAGGGGACCUGCUAGCGGUUCGUCCCCAUGAGCCCGCCAGGGACCUGCCAUCAUUUCUGAAUAAAAACAGCAGGAUCUUUGAGAGUUUAUUGCCCCACUUUGCCUAAACAGAAUAAAGUCAGUCUCACAAGUUCUCUUUCUACUGAAAAAUCUCAGAAACUUUCUCAGACAUGGGUCUGGCAGCUGAAGAGAAAUUCUACCCUGGGACCUCUGCCCCCAAGGAAGUAAUUGAAAUCACCAUAGCCUGGGGUGACCAUCUAGAUAAUGGAGAUUGUAAUUUUGGUAUAAGAUGCCCUCUCUCGGCUGUAGAUUUUCAUCUAUAACACACAGGUGAGAUGAUCCUUCAGGGUUCCUGUUUCAUGAAAGAGUCUGGGAGGCAUUCUACAGGACA